Molecule: long non-coding RNA, 1906 nt
Organism: Strongylocentrotus purpuratus (purple sea urchin)
Lineage: Eukaryota; Metazoa; Echinodermata; Echinoidea; Camarodonta; Strongylocentrotidae
Exons: 4
Source: RefSeq, a predicted model, not a curated record
CUUACAUCCGACCACGCUCUCGGGCAAGCGUGCAAAGGAGUGCUGUUAACGAUGACAAGUACAGCUUCACAGCACAUCAUGAUUAGCUACAAAUAGGAAAAGCUGUCAAAGUCUGUGAUGAGCGAGAUCAAGAGCCAGCUGAUAAGCAAGGGGUACAACGUGUGGAUGGACGAAGAUCGUAUGGGAGGAGAUAUCUAUGAUUGCAUGGCUAAAGCUGUGGAGAACUCCUAUUUGAUCCUGGUCUGUAUCACAAAGGGAUAUCAGGAGAGCGAGAACUGUCGUUUAGAAGCACGUUAUGCUCUUGUUAAAGAAAAGCGGAUUGUCCCCGUAAAGGUGAACGAAGCAUUCAAGGCCUCGGGAUGGCUCGGGGCCAUCACCGCAGGGAAGAUGUACUACCUCAUCCAAAAUGAAAAAACAGGUUCCCAGCCAUCUUCCCACGAUCAUUGACCGGGAGAUUGAGCAUGAACUACAGAAGAAUCAUGAUGCACAGUCGGGGGCACGAAGCGGUGGACCAGUUGAACCGGAGGUCCGUACAUGGGACGCCACCAAAGUCCGCGAGUGGCUGACAUCCAACGGCAUCAGUUCCACCAACGAGAGUCUUCGGAACCUCACCGGGCUGCAUUUGCUGCAGAUUAAGAAGCAACUGGCGAGAGCUCCGGAUUCGUUCUACCCGUCCAUGAAAGAAGAAUUGAAGGUCCCCUACCUGGAAGUCCUUUUGUUAGCCGCAGCUUUGGAGAACCUCUGAGAGAUUUAUGUCGGUCGUUCUUCUUUUUCUGUGGUUGGAGCUUCCCAAUAUAAUUCAUUUUAAUUAUUGUAAGUGUCAAAAUUGUGUCACCAAAUAAUAUAUUUUACAUUAUUAUUCCCCAUUUCUAUUGUGCGAAAUUGUCUUGCUGAACACUUUUGUAUACGAUCAAGUCUUUUGCAAAGAGUUUCAGCCAUUGAUUAGAAGCUUAGAUCCAACUCUCAAGAACUCCUAGUCCUAGUGUGAUAUGGAUAUGGACUAUGGAUCACUUUGUUUGUGGUUAAAGUUCCAUUGCGGCAAUAAUGUCUUUUGUCAAGACAUUAAUCUGUAUUUGACACUCUCCACCCUGGUGAUGUUAGUGUGUACUUGGUAGAGGAAGACAUUUCUCUAAUGCCAGAGCAUCUUACCAGGGCCGUUCGGCUUAUGCCAGAGUACACGCAUAGAAACAUAUACACAAGUAUUAAGCGAUAUAUAACUGUUACUACUAUCAAUAUCAUUAAGCUAUGUAUAUAUGUACAUAAGUCUUCUUCUUUUUCUCGCACUUCUACGAUCGAAAGUCCAUGCGUUGUGAGGGGUGUCCUAAAACUGUAUUUUCUUCUGCAUAACGAUCAACUAACUUCAUGUUUUGGGCCUGCCUCAAAACAGUUAGAUUUGAGCUAAAUGUUAUUUAGUCAGUUUCCAGAAUUUUGCUUCAAGACAAUAACAAUGUAAUAUUUAAGAUUAAUUUGCAUUUCUCACGUAGAGAAUGCAAAAUCUAAGGCAUUCCUUUUGAAGAAAGAAAUAGUGAUUUGAGCAAAGUAGGAGUAUUUGGAAAGAUGAAUAAGACUAUAAGUAAUUCAUGAAAAAAGAUAAUUAGAUAUUCACAAGUAUAUUUAAACAGAUUGGCAAUUAGUUUUGAGCUAAAUUAUUAUAUGAUAGUUGCUAUUCCGGUAUUUCAUUUUAUUUCUUCAUUCACAUUAAAAAAAAUAUCUUUUAAACUAAUCUUUCAAAGUAUACACUCUCCUAUGUUAGAAAUAAACGUCACUAUCAAAGGUAUUUUUUGUUGUUAAAACAGUGAUAACCGUAACAAUACUCUCAGUGCUCAAAUGUAUCGAUGUAACAUGGUUUUAAAAACUAAUAUGAGUAAGAGAGAAAAAAAGAGAGAAUUUCCUUUUUUAAAAUUAA